UACAGAGGUCUCAAGCGUUGUUCGGAUUCAUUGGGCGUAAAGGGUGCGUAGGCGGCGCGGUAAGUCGGGUGUGAAAUCUCGGGGCUUAACUCCGAAACUGCAUUUGAUACUGCGGUGCUUGAGGACUGGAGAGGAGACUGGAAUUUACGGUGUAGCAGUGAAAUGCGUAGAGAUCGUAAGGAAGACCAGUGGCGAAGGCGGGUCUCUGGACAGUUCCUGACACUGAGGCACGAAGGCCAGGGGAGCAAACGGG
Molecule: ribosomal RNA, 253 nt
Filed under: uncultured bacterium
Lineage: Bacteria
Description: partial 16S ribosomal RNA
Rfam family: Bacterial small subunit ribosomal RNA
Source: RNAcentral